This 87-nucleotide transfer RNA is filed under the name Rhodopirellula sp. RNAcentral's name for it is "tRNA-Ser". It matches the Rfam family "tRNA". Rfam says of the family: Transfer RNA (tRNA) molecules are approximately 80 nucleotides in length. Their secondary structure includes four short double-helical elements and three loops (D, anti-codon, and T loops). Lineage: Bacteria; Pseudomonadati; Planctomycetota; Planctomycetia; Pirellulales; Pirellulaceae. The record is from RNAcentral.
GGAAGGUAGCCGGAUACGGCUUGCCGGGCCGCACUGCUAACGCGGUUCUCCCCAGCGGAGAUGAGGGUUCGACUCCCUUGCCUUCCG